UACAGAGGGGGCAAGCGUUGUUCGGAAUUACUGGGCGUAAAGGGCGCGUAGGCGGCCUGCUAAGUCGAACGUGAAAUCCCCGAGCUUAACUCGGGAACUGCGUCCGAUACUGACAGGCUUGAAUCCGGGAGAGGGAUGCGGAAUUCCAGGUGUAGCGGUGAAAUGCGUAGAUAUCUGGAGGAACACCGGUGGCGAAGGCGGCAUCCUGGACCGGCAUUGACGCUGAGGCGCGAAAGCUAGGGGAGCAAACAGG
This 253-nucleotide ribosomal RNA is filed under the name uncultured bacterium. RNAcentral describes it as "partial 16S ribosomal RNA". It matches the Rfam family "Bacterial small subunit ribosomal RNA", at positions 524 to 776 of the family's 1533-position model. The record is from RNAcentral.